UAUGAAACAGGGCAAAAUCAUCGAAAGGUGAUGACGCAAAGCCAUGGGUCUACUGUUUUAAAACAAUGUUUUAAAGCUAUGAUCGCCAGGCUGCCAUU
Molecule: regulatory RNA element, 98 nt
Rfam family: c-di-GMP-I riboswitch aptamer
About the family: GEMM was predicted in a large-scale screen for bacterial structured RNA regulatory elements. Genes associated with GEMM are involved in a diverse array of functions, including chemotaxis regulation, signal transduction, secretion and chitin.
Source: Rfam